This 445-nucleotide ribosomal RNA is filed under the name uncultured bacterium. RNAcentral's name for it is "partial 16S ribosomal RNA". It matches the Rfam family "Bacterial small subunit ribosomal RNA", at positions 338 to 795 of the family's 1533-position model. The record is from RNAcentral.
CCUACGGGCGGCUGCAGUCGAGAAUUAUUCACAAUGCGGGAAACCCUGAUGGUGCGACGCCGCGUGGGGGAAUGAAGGUCUUCGGAUUGUAAACCCCUGUCAUGUGGGAGCAAAUUAAAAAGAUAGUACCACAAGAGGAAGAGACGGCUAACUCUGUGCCAGCAGCCGCGGUAAUACAGAGGUCUCAAGCGUUGUUCGGAAUCACUGGGCGUAAGGCGUGCGUAGGCGGUUUCGUAAGUCGUGUGUGAAAGGCGCGGGCUCAACCCGCGGACGGCACAUGAUACUGCGAGACUAGAGUAAUGGAGGGGGAACCGGAAUUCUCGGUGUAGCAGUGAAAUGCGUAGAUAUUGAGAGGAACACUCGUGGCGAAGGCGGGUUCCUGGACAUUAACUGACGCUGAGGCACGAAGGCCAGGGGAGCGAAAGGGAUUAGAUCCCUAGUAGUC